UUCUAUCUUGAGGUUUUGUGAAC
Molecule: small nuclear RNA, 23 nt
Filed under: Arabidopsis thaliana (thale cress)
Lineage: Eukaryota; Viridiplantae; Streptophyta; Magnoliopsida; Brassicales; Brassicaceae
Description: snRNA_15468
Source: RNAcentral